Coregonus clupeaformis (lake whitefish) is the source of this 296-nucleotide long non-coding RNA. RefSeq lists it as uncharacterized. The transcript has 4 exons. NCBI's taxonomy places the organism in Eukaryota, Metazoa, Chordata, Actinopteri, Salmoniformes, Salmonidae. The record is from RefSeq and is a predicted model, not a curated record.
GGACAUGACACCAAAACUAAGAGCCCAAUCAAGCAGGAGAGACCAGCCUCCCCUGUACCCAGCUGUGUGUCCAUGAAGAGUGAUUGGUCAAUGAGACCCCCUUUACACUUUGGAAAGGGAGACUUUUCUACUGAACAAAGCCCAAUCAAGCAGGAGAGACCAGCCUCCCCUGUACCCAGCUGUGUGUCCAUGAAGAGUGACUGGUCUAUGAGACCUCCUUUAUACUUUGGAGAGGGAGACUUUUCUACUGAACAAAGAAACCAACAGCAGAGAUCAGAGUCAGAGUCAGAAAUUCU